RNAcentral lists this ribosomal RNA (101 nucleotides) under Vibrio parahaemolyticus. RNAcentral's name for it is "partial 16S ribosomal RNA". It matches the Rfam family "Bacterial small subunit ribosomal RNA", at positions 1 to 98 of the family's 1533-position model. Lineage: Bacteria; Pseudomonadati; Pseudomonadota; Gammaproteobacteria; Vibrionales; Vibrionaceae. The record is from RNAcentral. RNAcentral also lists the same sequence under 1 other name.
UUAAAUUGAAGAGUUUGAUCAUGGCUCAGAUUGAACGCUGGCGGCAGGCCUAACACAUGCAAGUCGAGCGGAAACGAGUUAUCUGAACCUUCGGGGAACGA